UGGCUCAGUUGGUAGAGCAUGGUGCUAUUAAUGUCAGGGUAGUGGGUUCAAUUCCCAU
RNAcentral lists this transfer RNA (58 nucleotides) under Salmo salar (Atlantic salmon). It matches the Rfam family "tRNA", at positions 8 to 63 of the family's 71-position model. From Rfam's summary of the family: Transfer RNA (tRNA) molecules are approximately 80 nucleotides in length. Their secondary structure includes four short double-helical elements and three loops (D, anti-codon, and T loops). Lineage: Eukaryota; Metazoa; Chordata; Actinopteri; Salmoniformes; Salmonidae. The record is from Rfam by way of RNAcentral.